Long non-coding RNA from Bombus impatiens (common eastern bumble bee), 1665 nucleotides. RefSeq lists it as uncharacterized. The transcript is spliced from 4 exons. Lineage: Eukaryota; Metazoa; Arthropoda; Insecta; Hymenoptera; Apidae. The record is from RefSeq and is a predicted model, not a curated record.
AUCCUUAGAGAAUCAAACUGAAAAUUUGUUAAUAAAAUAGGUCUCUUUUCUUCAAUGAGAUGAACACUUAACCUCGUACAUCCAGGAAAUUUUGAGUCAUGGAAUGUUCACUUCCAUUUCUAUUUAUCUCGAGUUACUGAACAUAGCGCAAUUUCAACGUUAUUUGUUCUAGUCUUUAUAAAACUUAUUCAGAAGACACAAACAAGAAAUGAAAUACUUUAGAAGCUUGUAAAAGCUAUUUGAAAGAAUUAAUUUUUGAUAAAAGAUGAGAAAUUUUUGUAGGAGAGACUGACGAAGUUACAGAUGGCAAAAAUUCAAAUUCUCGAUGGAUCUUUCCUAAAUUUCGCUAAGAAUUUUCUUAAUAUAAUAUGCUUAGCACGUUUUAAGUUACCAAAAUAGCAUCUACAAGUAUCUUGCAAUUGCCUAGGAAGGAAAGCUUGCCAUGUAUGCACAGCCUCGAAUAAAAAUCGAUAGAAAGAGACCCAUUCCGCCUCUUGUUUUCGAACUGACUUUAUAAAUAAACAACGAGAAGCACAUUGUGGCGGGUAUCGUUGAUGGACAACAUGUUUAUAGCCGUUGGAACAGAGGGAACUUGAUGAAUCGAACAGUUGUUGAGAAGAACGGGAGAUUGGUCGUUAAAUGUAGCGAAGAACGCAAUCAUUAUCGGAAUUUAUCUGGAAGUUGAAGGGGUGUGCAUGCUGAGAUGUUUCUCCCGAGAGUCCAGACUCGAAUGGGGGGCGUCACCGAUAACAUGUUUUGGAAUUCGAAAUGGAACUGUCCGAAGGACAAUGAUUAUUAUCCAAGGAGGAAAAGGAGCGUGCGAAGAGACACAGGAAAUAUCGAUGUUUAGUGACAAGCAAGAAGCCCCACGAAUGGUGCGAAUCACCUUAAUUUCUCGUUUCUCAAUUUCUGAAUGACGGUAUGAUUAACGACGAGCACGAUAGCGACCACGGGGAUCUCCGUAAAUAUCUAUUCAUCACGUUGAAAUUACGAAAAAGCAGGCUGAGCCGUUGAUAAUCGACUUUUCUUGAGGGAAGGCGAGGUUAGCUAUAAUCAGGAAAAGAAAUCAUGCCAGUAAUUGCAUUACUGGUUUACUACGGCAAAAUAAUGUUCAUCGCCAAGAGAAAAUUUGUUAUUCUUAUACGUAUUACUUUUGAUUUUAAUUUUAUUAUCUAAGAUGUUUUUUUGGUUAGCUAUGGACAGGGAUCCAGAUUGUGCAACUUGUGAAAGAACGAUGAUUGAUAAUUAUGCGGUUUAUGUAGACUUUCCCUAAUUUUCACUAUGUAAUUCUCUCUUUUUUUUUUUAAGCUUUCUCUUAUCAUCAAAAUACGAAAUUUCAAUGAGUAGGGAGCUCGAGAAAUGAACCUACGUUUUAUUAUUUUAUUCAGGAAGAGUCAAAUUUUAAAAUUUCUUCCAUAUUUCGUCAAACUAAAUAAAGAUGUAUUUUAGAUCUACUUAUGCUAGUUUUUAAGUUUAAUUCACAUAAUGUUUAACGUUUACCAAAGAAGGUUGGGUUAAGUUUUAGUAAAUUUAUUUAAACGCGCAUUUGAAUGAACGAAAGUAUGUAACCUCGUUACGUUUAAAGAAUAGUUGGCCCAAAUCUAACCUAAUCUAACGCAACAUAAUCUGACCUAACCUAACAUGACCUAAUUUUUUUUUUUUAUA